CCCUUGGGCGGCGGCUUACAGUGCAAGUCGAACGGUGAAGCAGGAGCUUGCUCUGUGGAUCAGUGGCGAACGGGUGAGUAACACGUGAGCAACCUGCCCCUGACUCUGGGAUAAGCGCUGGAAACGGCGUCUAAUACUGGAUAUGAGCUGCGAUCGCAUGGUCAGCAGUUGGAAAGAUUUUUCGGUCUGGGAUGGGCUCACGGCCUAUCAGCUUGUUGGUGAGGUAAUGGCUCACCAAGGCGUCGACGGGUAGCCGGCCUGAGAGGGUGACCGGCCACACUGGGACUGAGACACGGCCCAGACUCCUACGGGAGGCAGCAGUGGGGAAUAUUGCACAAUGGGCGAAAGCCUGAUGCAGCAACGCCGCGUGAGGGAUGACGGCCUUCGGGUUGUAAACCUCUUUUAGCAGGGAAGAAGCGAAAGUGACGGUACCUGCAGAAAAAGCGCCGGCUAACUACGUGCCAGCAGCCGCGGUAAUACGUAGGGCGCAAGCGUUAUCCGGAAUUAUUGGGCGUAAAGAGCUCGUAGGCGGUUUGUCGCGUCUGCUGUGAAAUCCCGAGGCUCAACCUCGGGUCUGCAGUGGGUACGGGCAGACUAGAGUGCGGUAGGGGAGAUUGGAAUUCCUGGUGUAGCGGUGGAAUGCGCAGAUAUCAGGAGGAACACCGAUGGCGAAGGCAGAUCUCUGGGCCGUUACUGACGCUGAGGAGCGAAAGGGUGGGGAGCAAACAGGCUUAGAUACCCUGGUAGUCCACCCCGUAAACGUUGGGAACUAGUUGUGGGGUCCAUUCCACGGAUUCCGUGACGCAGCUAACGCAUUAAGUUCCCCGCCUGGGGAGUACGGCCGCAAGGCUAAAACUCAAAGGAAUUGACGGGGACCCGCACAAGCGGCGGAGCAUGCGGAUUAAUUCGAUGCAACGCGAAGAACCUUACCAAGGCUUGACAUAUACGAGAACGGGCCAGAAUGGUCAACUCUUUGGACACUCGUAAACAGGUGGUGCAU
Molecule: ribosomal RNA, 1000 nt
Filed under: Microbacterium sp. HBUM178261
Lineage: Bacteria; Bacillati; Actinomycetota; Actinomycetes; Micrococcales; Microbacteriaceae
Description: bacterial SSU rRNA
Rfam family: Bacterial small subunit ribosomal RNA
Source: RNAcentral